RNAcentral lists this unclassified non-coding RNA (345 nucleotides) under soil metagenome. RNAcentral's name for it is "partial contains 5.8S ribosomal RNA, internal transcribed spacer 2, and large subunit ribosomal RNA". The stretch from base 1 to 120 matches the Rfam family "5.8S ribosomal RNA", at positions 35 to 154 of the family's 154-position model. The record is from RNAcentral.
GAUGAAGAACGUAGCGAAAUGCGAUACGUAAUGUGAAUUGCAGAAUUCAGUGAAUCAUCGAGUCUUUGAACGCACAUUGCGCCCCCUGGUAUUCCGGGGGGCAUGCCUGUCCGAGCGUCAUUGCUGCCCUCAAGCACGGCUUGUGUGUUGGGCCUCCGUCCUCCUCCCGGGGGACGGGCCCGAAAGGCAGCGGCGGCACCGCGUCCGGUCCUCGAGCGUAUGGGGCUUCGUCACCCGCUCUUGUAGGCCCGGCCGGCGCUUGCCGACACAUCAAUCUUUUUUCCUGGUUGACCUCGGAUCAGGUAGGGAUACCCGCUGAACUUAAGCAUAUCAAUAAGCGGAGGA